UGGCAGCAAACAAUAAGAGUUUUUUUUUCUGUGAGUGAAGUUAAGGAUGGUCUCAAGACGGCAAGGAGUUGAAGGCGGCAAGCAGCGAAAGGCGAUAUUGGCAAAAAGUGAGUGAAAGUGAGUGAGAAAAUAUAAAAAAAAGUACCGUAGGAACUAUAUAAAGAGCGGAAAUAUUGAGAGCAAUAAAUGGCAGCAAACAAUAAGAGUUUUUUUUUCUGUGAGUGAAGUGAAGGAUGGUCUCAAGACGGCAAGGAGUUGAAGGCGGCAAGCAGCGAAAGGCGUUAUUGGCAAAAAGUGAGUGAAAGUGAGUGAGUGAAGAGAAAAUAUAUAAAAUGUACCGCAGGAACUAUAUAAAGAGCGGAAAUAUUGAGCGCAAUGCAUGGCAGCAAACAAUUAGAUUUUUUUUUCUGUGAGUGAAGUGAAGGAUGGUCUCAAGACGGCAAGGAGUUGAAGGCGGCAAGCAGCGAAAGGCGUUAUUGGCAAAAAGUGAG
Long non-coding RNA from Drosophila pseudoobscura, 491 nucleotides. RefSeq lists it as uncharacterized. The transcript is spliced from 2 exons. The record is from RefSeq and is a predicted model, not a curated record. Lineage: Eukaryota; Metazoa; Arthropoda; Insecta; Diptera; Drosophilidae.